UGUGUACUCCCUCGGUCCGAAAAUACUUGUCCGAGAAAUAGAUGUAUCUAGAUGUAUUUUAGUUCUAGAUACAUCCAUUUAUAUCCAUUUCUACAACAAGUAUUUCCGGACGGAGGGAGUACAUG
Molecule: non-coding RNA, 125 nt
Organism: Triticum aestivum (bread wheat)
Lineage: Eukaryota; Viridiplantae; Streptophyta; Magnoliopsida; Poales; Poaceae
Source: Rfam